ACGGGUUAAAUCCUCAGUUUAUUAACAAUUAUCUCGUGGAUUCGUGGUAUACCGUUACUUAAUAAUAAUUGUAAACUUUUUUUUUUGACGUCUAGAUUUAUUAUUUAUUGCAAAUUAUGAGAACUGUUACAUAGACGAUUCUACAACGGACAAUUCCUUCCGACCCUUAUUAGAUCCAUGACCUGACGACACUUCUCUCUCAGCGUAGAAUCCUGGCGAACGGCUAUAAUUGUACUUCGCUGGAGAUCUCCUACACACUUGCCUCAUUUAAUCUGCAAAUUUAUUAAUAAAUCGCAAUAUCUAGGACUCGAACCCCAGACCUCUUGGUGUAGAAGCAUUAAUUAACCCUUGGUCAACCAAUGGGCCAAGA
Molecule: long non-coding RNA, 370 nt
Filed under: Arabidopsis lyrata
Lineage: Eukaryota; Viridiplantae; Streptophyta; Magnoliopsida; Brassicales; Brassicaceae
Description: long non-coding RNA (ALYR_LNC001504)
Source: RNAcentral